CGUUGUUUGGUUGAACUUCUCGGAGCUGUGGAGUGAAUUGUAGAGAGAGAGAGAGAUGGGGAGGAAGAAGGGAGUGGUGUUCGACGAGGCGGCGCCGGACGACUUCGAUCCGGAGAAUCCGUACAAGGACCCGGUGGCGAUGCUGGAGAUGAGGGAGCAUUUGGUGAGGGAGAAGUGGAUCGACAUCGAGACGGCCAAGAUCCUCCGCGAGAAGCUCAAGUGGUGCUACCGCGUCGAGGGCAUCAACCACCUCCAGAAGUGCCGCCACCUCGUCCGCCAGUACCUCGACGCCACCCGCGGCAUCGGCUGGGGCAAGGACCAGCGUCCUCCCUCCCUUCACGGUCCUAAGGUCGAGGCCGAGGCCGAGGCCGACUGACAACACUCUGCAAGGCGAGAGAAGAUAAGUGUGAGGAGAAACAAAAUUUGGUGUCCAUCCCUUUUGGAAUUAGUUAUUCACUAGAAAAGAGAAUCCGGAUGAAUGCGUUAUCCAACUCAUAAAUGAGGCAACUCAAAAUUAGUCCAUUCAGAGAUUCGGGGAUGAUCAAGUUUGGACCAUGAUCUUUCAUUUUUAAUCUUCAUUUUUAGGUGCGAGAUGAGAAUGAGUUUACGGUACUGAAUUUGGUGAGCUACUAGACUAUACAAAGUACCGAGGUUUACCGGUCAAUCCGUGUGGUUGCAUUCUACUUGUGUCCUUUUUCGUUCUUUCACUCUUGUUAAAUUACAAGGUCCAACUCUUUCGGCGACCGUUUUCAUGUUUAGUUCUUUUGUGUUUUGGCAUUGGAAACUGAAGAGAUUUGUAAUAAAUGGAAGGAUAUCAGAAGAUAGAAUAAGUUUCAUUCUCAAAUUCUCA
Molecule: RNA transcript, 850 nt
Organism: Diospyros lotus (date-plum)
Lineage: Eukaryota; Viridiplantae; Streptophyta; Magnoliopsida; Ericales; Ebenaceae
Gene name: NADH dehydrogenase [ubiquinone] 1 beta subcomplex subunit 10-A-like
Exons: 4
Source: RefSeq, a predicted model, not a curated record